Molecule: ribosomal RNA, 104 nt
Filed under: uncultured bacterium
Lineage: Bacteria
Description: partial 16S ribosomal RNA
Source: RNAcentral
CAGGAAGAAGGCCUUCUGGGUUGUAAACUGCUUUGCCGGGGAUAAAAGACCCUGCGGGGGAAAUUGAAGGUACCUGGUGAAUAAGCCACCGGCUAACUACGUGC